This is a long non-coding RNA of Triticum aestivum (bread wheat), 889 nucleotides long. RefSeq lists it as uncharacterized. NCBI's taxonomy places the organism in Eukaryota, Viridiplantae, Streptophyta, Magnoliopsida, Poales, Poaceae. The record is from RefSeq and is a predicted model, not a curated record. The transcript has 3 exons.
CUCAUUUUAGCACCAGCUAUCUUGGAAUUAGAUCGGAUAGUGUGGGAAUAUAAUGAUGACUGUUUCUUGAUGGGUACUUGCUGCAUGAUUUUUUCCAGUGCAUGUCCAUGUUUACAUGUGAAAGUUUCUUGCUUGAUUCCGUUCUACUGGUUCAUUGGAUGAAUAAACUCACAUCUUGCAUGGCCAAACUCUCGGCUGAUGUUUCUAAUAAUUCACUUUUUGUCAUUGCAGGAGAUUAUGGAGUGUAAUUCUUCAAAUGUGCAAAUGUCACGUUGUGCUAAGGGCUCCGAGACUACAAUAGAGACCAAAAUCAAGACUUUGGAUUCUCAAAUAUACAAUUUGUGUGUGAAUAAAUAUAUAAGUACAUGUCGUCUGAUCCAAAUAAGAUGACUAAUGUGAAUGAAGAUGGUUCCGAUAGCAAUCCAAACUUUGUUGGAUACUCUGAGAACACCAGGAAUGAUAUAUUGCCAGCACUUAAGAGGAAAACAGGAGGUUCUGGUUCUAUUGCUGCUCUUAAGGUACUACUGGUCGUUUGACUCUCUGCUCAUUAAACUGGUAGUGUAUAAGAUGUGUGAAACAUACUACAGUGCACUCUUGAGGGAUAUAACUUAGUUUUUUAAGCUGGGCCAAGUCCUCUAGAUGGUUCAGGAGGCAAGGAGACUUAUGCUCAGAUCAUGGUGAAGUGAGCAACCAAAUCAUCCUCACUUCUUGAUUCUGUGCUCCAUGCUGCUCUUCCUUCGAUUGCGGCUCAUCUUCGUUUGCUGCUCAGGUUCGUUUCCAUGCAUAUAGCUCACUACCUGUUUGUCUUUAUGUUCAGCAACUAUAUUUGUCUGUUCGUGUUUCAUUGCAUCAGAUUAAAAUUAUAAUUUUUUCACCACAGUUUUUGGUG